CCCUCCUACAAAGGCAUGUCUGUGGUUUCCUAUCCUUGGACAUAAAAACUGGAGCCAAAGAGAUGUGGGCUUGGAGAAGUCUGGAGCCGGCUUGCUCCCCACAGGCUCAAUUUUUAGGUGGUGAUAAAU
Molecule: small nucleolar RNA, 129 nt
Filed under: Dasypus novemcinctus (nine-banded armadillo)
Lineage: Eukaryota; Metazoa; Chordata; Mammalia; Cingulata; Dasypodidae
Description: Small nucleolar RNA SNORA38 (ENSDNOG00000037044.1)
Rfam family: Small nucleolar RNA SNORA38
About the family: ACA38 is a member of the H/ACA class of snoRNA that guide the sites of modification of uridines to pseudouridines.
Source: RNAcentral